AAAGGGCGCGUAGGCGGACAUUUUAGUCAGGCGUGAAAUUCCUGGGCUUAACCUGGGGGCUGCGUUUGAUACGGGGUGUCUAGAGUGGGGAAGAGGGUCGUGGAAUUCCCAGUGUAGAGGUGAAAUUCGUAGAUAUUGGGAAGAACACCGGUGGCGAAGGCGGCGACCUGGUCCUUGACUGACGCUGAGGCGCGAAAGCGUGGGGAGCAAACAGGAUUAGAUACCCUAGU
This 230-nucleotide ribosomal RNA is filed under the name uncultured bacterium. RNAcentral's name for it is "partial 16S ribosomal RNA". It matches the Rfam family "Bacterial small subunit ribosomal RNA", at positions 562 to 791 of the family's 1533-position model. The record is from RNAcentral.